AUGUGUAGCACAAUUGGGCUUAGAGAUAUUCCAGUUCUUUGCUAUUGCAAAAAAUUGAUGUUUUAAAUUUGUAUUGGUUUAUAUGGGAUCUUUCAGUGAGAAAAUUUUUAAUCCUACCUACACUUAAACAAGAAUCCUCUCUAAAACUAUUAUAAGAUCAUUAAACCCUACCACUUCCCUUCAUUUUACAGAUGAGGAAAAUGAGACAGAGAGUAAGGUACUUGCCCAGCAUCACAGGACUAGUAAGUGUCUGAGGCAGAAUUGGAAGUCAGAUCUUCUUGAUUCCAAGCUAAGAAUUCUGUCCAUUACUCCACCCAGGACCCAGGAUUGAAUGUUCAUUCAACUUUUGCUUGAAGAGCUCCACUGACCAGGAACCCACUACUUCCCAAGGCAGCUGGUUGUACUUUUGGACAGCUCUUAAUUGUUAGUAUUUUUCUCACUCUAAACCCAAGGGUAUUUCUUUGAAACAAAUUGCUUUGCCUUCUAGGGCCAAGAAGAGCAAAUGCAUACACUCUCCAUGUGACAGCCUUGGUCUAUACAUAGAUACUGCUUAAUUCUUGAGGCAAGAAAGGAGGAAACAUCAUCAUCAUGAUCAUGAGAACAGCUAACAAGCAUCGCAUUUGCUCUUCACAGUAUCCAUCAGAAGCAGAAACGCUUAGCAAGGUUGCAGAUGAAGGACACCCACUGCUGGAAACAGUGCUGAAGAUAUAUUCUUGGACUCAAGAAGGAAACGCAGAGGACGCAUUAUCUUGUGGAAUGAUUACUAGACUAAUGAGCCUUGAGGGGCAGGAAAAUUGACUACAAAACAAAUUAAAUAGGCACCUGACAUUCUGGUGUUCUCUAUAUAAACAGGAGACAACAGUCAAGUUUGUACAUGUGUUUGUGUCUAUCUUCCCAUACCCUAUUACUUAUUCAAAUAAACUAAGUAUAAAUUAAUCA
This 939-nucleotide long non-coding RNA is filed under the name Monodelphis domestica (gray short-tailed opossum). RNAcentral's name for it is "lncRNA (ENSMODG00000041821.1)". The record is from RNAcentral. Lineage: Eukaryota; Metazoa; Chordata; Mammalia; Didelphimorphia; Didelphidae.